This 253-nucleotide ribosomal RNA is filed under the name uncultured bacterium. RNAcentral describes it as "partial 16S ribosomal RNA". It matches the Rfam family "Bacterial small subunit ribosomal RNA", at positions 524 to 776 of the family's 1533-position model. The record is from RNAcentral.
UACGUAGGGUGCGAGCGUUGUCCGGAAUUAUUGGGCGUAAAGAGCUCGUAGGCGGUUUGUCGCGUCUGCUGUGAAAUCCCGAGGCUCAACCUCGGGUCUGCAGUGGGUACGGGCAGACUAGAGUGAUGUAGGGGAGACUGGAAUUCCUGGUGUAGCGGUGAAAUGCGCAGAUAUCAGGAGGAACACCGAUGGCGAAGGCAGGUCUCUGGGCAUUAACUGACGCUGAGGAGCGAAAGCAUGGGGAGCGAACAGG